This 774-nucleotide ribosomal RNA is filed under the name uncultured Neocallimastigales. Its description in RNAcentral is "partial large subunit ribosomal RNA". It matches the Rfam family "Eukaryotic large subunit ribosomal RNA", at positions 26 to 644 of the family's 3401-position model. Lineage: Eukaryota; Fungi; Neocallimastigomycota; Neocallimastigomycetes; Neocallimastigales. The record is from RNAcentral.
CGCAUCUGUGCAUGCAGCAUAUCAAUAAGCGGAGGAAAAGAAACUAACAAGGAUUCCCCUAGUAACGGCGAGUGAAGCGGGAAGAGCUCAAAUUUGAAAUCUUAAAGGGUGUCCCUUUACGAAUUGUAGUUUAAAGAAGUGUUUUCUGUUGAGGUUUUGGUAAAAGUUCUUUGGAAUAGGACAUCAUAGAGGGUGAGAAUCCCGUAUUUGACCUUUACUUUCAACUUUGUGAUACACUUUCAAAGAGUCGGAUCGUUUGGGAAUGCAGUCCAAAAUGGGUGGUAAAUUUCAUCUAAAGCUAAAUAUUGGCGAGAGACCGAUAGCGAACAAGUACCGUGAGGGAAAGAUGAAAAGAACUUUGAAAAGAGAGUUAAACAGUACGUGAAAUUGUCAAAAGGGAAGCGUUUGACACCAGUGUUGUUUUUCUGAAAAUCAAUUAAAGAACUGUUUAUGCUAAGUUGUUUAGACUUUAUCAGCUAACUGUUUAGUUUUGAGCUUUUCUUUAAUGCACUUUUCAGUUAACAAGUCAACAUCAAUUUCUUUUGCUGUAAAAAAGCUUGAGGAAGGUGGCUUGAGAUUCGUCUUAAGUGUUUAUAGCCUCUUGCCUAUGCAGUCGGAGAGAUUGAGGUCUGCAGCGUAGAUCCUUCGGGGCUAAAUGCAUUUGUGCUAAGUUAUAGCAUUUUAUAGACAACUUGUUGACUAUGAUUUGUCUUGUAGCUUACUCGCUUAUGUUAUUUUACCUACGCUUAGGAUGUUGAAUCUGUGCGAGACUAC